AAAUUUGCGUUUUACAAGGACAACGAAGAAGCUGCCUUCGUGAUAUUUGAUGCGACCGGAAGUACAAUUACUAGCUGGUUCUCUUCAUCAAAUAUUGUGGAUUCAUCAUGGACCACACUUGCCACAGAUUCUUUUAAUAUUUUCUCCAUCUAUGGUCAUGAUCCAGGUAGAAGGUUUAUGAUAAAUCUUCAUUAUGGUGGAUGCCCUGUGGAUGCCGGAUAUUCGAUUAUUGUUAUUAAUAAUGCACUACCUUGUACGUACGACAUACAAUCGUCUUACCCACAAUUCAUUAUUUCUACAUCCGCAACUUCCGGCAAUCCCGAAGCGAUGACAGGAAUGGACAAAGCAGAUGUUAUGGCCAUAUUCAUAAAAUAAAAACAUGUCGAGAAGUUUAACGUCGUAUAUGUAUCUACAUUUGAG
Ruditapes philippinarum (Manila clam) is the source of this 420-nucleotide long non-coding RNA. RefSeq lists it as uncharacterized. NCBI's taxonomy places the organism in Eukaryota, Metazoa, Mollusca, Bivalvia, Venerida, Veneridae. The record is from RefSeq and is a predicted model, not a curated record. The transcript is spliced from 3 exons.